RNAcentral lists this ribosomal RNA (870 nucleotides) under Triticum aestivum (bread wheat). RNAcentral's name for it is "partial small subunit ribosomal RNA". Lineage: Eukaryota; Viridiplantae; Streptophyta; Magnoliopsida; Poales; Poaceae. The record is from RNAcentral.
AUGAUCCACCCGGGCCGGUUCGGUAAGAGGGACCAUGUGAUCUCCUGCGAUGACACCAAGGACGGGAAGAACCCCUGCGUCGCCACCUGCGACAAGCGCUGCCCCAACGAGUGCAUCGUUAUGUGCCCAGGUUGCAAGACCUACUGCUUGUGCGACUUCUACCCCGGCAUGUCGUGCGGGGACCCACGCUUCACUGGUGCCGACGGCAACAACUUCUACUUCCACGGCAAGAAGGAUCAGGACUUCUGUGUCCUCUCCGAUGCCGACCUCCACAUCAACGCUCAUUUCAUCGGCAAGCGCAACCCCACCAUGAGCCGUGACUUCACCUGGAUCCAGGCUCUAGGCAUCCGCUUCGCCGACCAUCAGCUGUAUAUGGGUGCCCAGAAGACCAUUGAGUGGAACAACGACAUUGACCGCCUAGAGAUGGCCUUCGACGGAGCAUCUAUUGAAAUCCCUGCCAACCUUGGUGCCAAAUGGGAGUCUGACAUCAUUCCAGGGUUGACCGUCACUAGGACUGCUGUCACCAACGGUGUGAGGGUGCAGCUCCAGGGAGUGUUCGAUAUCAUGGCUAAAGUUCUGCCCAUCACUGAGGAGGACUCCCGCAUCCAUAAUUAUGGUGUGACCAAGGAUGACAGCCUUGCACAUUUGGACAUCGGGUUCAAGUUCAACAACCUUACUGACGAUGUCCACGGCGUGCUAGGGCAGACCUAUCGCUCCGAUUACGUCAACAAGCUUAGCAUGACUGCUAACAUGCCGGUCAUGGGUGGUGCUACUAGGUAUGUCUCCUCUGGCAUCUUUGCCACUGACUGCGAAGUGGCAAGGUUUGGCCACCAUGUUGGCAUCUCCAUGGUUACUGCUCAGGCUAACUAA